This 207-nucleotide ribosomal RNA is filed under the name Triticum aestivum (bread wheat). Its description in RNAcentral is "partial small subunit ribosomal RNA". Lineage: Eukaryota; Viridiplantae; Streptophyta; Magnoliopsida; Poales; Poaceae. The record is from RNAcentral.
CUUCUGCUAAAGAUCGACAUUGCAAAGGCCUUCGACACGGUUUCAUGGGAAUAUAUCCUCGAGCUGCUGCAACACAUGAAUUUCCCGGUGCGUUGGAGAGACUGGAUUGCGCUGCUUCUCUCCUCCGUGUCCUCGGCUUGUUUGCUCAAUGGAGACCCGGGCUCUACGAUUCUCCAUCAGCGGGGGUUGCGGCAAGGGGAUCCCUAA